UUCCGUAGGUGAACCUGCGGAAGGAUCAUUAGUGAUUUAAUUUGUUUUUCACGAGUGAAUGGUGGCGUUACGCCUUUUAAACAUCUAGUUAUGAACGUCUUAUUGUAACAAUCAAGAACUUUCAACAACGGAUCUCUUGGCUCUCGCAUCGAUGAAGAACGCAGCUAAAUGCGAUAAGUAAUGUGAAUUGCAGACUUGAGUGAAUCAUCGAAUCUUUGAACGCAUCUUGCGCCCUUUGGUAUUCCGAAGGGCAUGCCUGUUUGAGUGUCGUAAAGACUCAUCGAUGAGGAAGCUCAUUGAAUGGAUUUGGGUGGUGCCCGUGGCUCGCCUGAAAAGCGUGGGUGUUGGUUGACGCUGUCUGGAUGAUAAGUAUCGCUAGGCAGUGAGAUUGGCACUUGAAUUUAUUUUGUUUUUGACCUCUAAAUCAGGUAGA
This 433-nucleotide ribosomal RNA is filed under the name Tremella tropica. RNAcentral's name for it is "eukaryotic LSU rRNA". The stretch from base 117 to 270 matches the Rfam family "5.8S ribosomal RNA". The record is from RNAcentral. Lineage: Eukaryota; Fungi; Basidiomycota; Tremellomycetes; Tremellales; Tremellaceae.